This 1480-nucleotide ribosomal RNA is filed under the name uncultured bacterium. Its description in RNAcentral is "bacterial SSU rRNA". It matches the Rfam family "Bacterial small subunit ribosomal RNA". The record is from RNAcentral.
AGAGUUUGAUCCUGGCUCAGAAUGAACGCUGGCGGCGUGCUUAACACAUGCAAGUCGAACGGUAACAGCAGAGCUUGCUCUGGCUGACGAGUGGCGCACGGGUGAGUAAUAGAUAGAUAAUGUACCCCUUAGUCUGGGAUAGCCACUGGAAACGGUGAUUAAUACUGGAUACGCCUUUUUAGCGUAAGCUAAUUUGGGAAAGGUCUUUCGCUAAGGGAUCAGUCUAUCUCCCAUCAGUUAGUUGGUGAGGUAAGAGCUCACCAAGACGAUGACGGGUAGCGGGUUUGAGAGGAUGAUCCGCCACACUGGAACUGAGACACGGUCCAGACUCCUACGGGAGGCAGCAGUGAGGAAUAUUGCACAAUGGGGGAAACCCUGAUGCAGCAACGCCGCGUGGAGGAUGACGCAUUUCGGUGUGUAAACUCCUUUUAUUAAGGAAGAAAUUUGACGGUACUUAAUGAAUAAGCUCCGGCUAACUCCGUGCCAGCAGCCGCGGUAAUACGGAGGGAGCAAGCGUUAUUCGGAAUCACUGGGCGUAAAGGACGCGUAGGCGGGUUAGUAAGUCAGGUGUGAAAUCCUACAGCUCAACUGUAGAACUGCACUUGAAACUACUGACCUAGAGUAUGGAGGGGCAGAUGGAAUUAGUGGUGUAGGGGUAAAAUCCGUAGAUAUCACUAGGAAUACCGAAAGCGAAGGCGAUCUGCUGGGACAUUACUGACGCUGAGGCGUGAAAGCGUGGGGAGCAAACAGGAUUAGAUACCCUGGUAGUCCACGCCCUAAACGAUGAACACUAGUCGUCGGGGUACAAGUUACUUCGGUGAUGCACUUAACAGAUUAAGUGUUCCGCCUGGGGAGUACGGUCGCAAGAUUAAAACUCAGAGGAAUAGACGGGGACCCGCACAAGUGGUGGAGCAUGUGGUUUAAUUCGAAGAUACGCGAAGAACCUUACCUAGCCUUGACAUUGAUAGGAUCUGCUAGAGAUAGCGGAGUGCCAGUUUACUGGAGCUUGAAAACAGGUGCUGCACGGCUGUCGUCAGCUCGUGUCGUGAGAUGUUGGGUUAAGUCCCGUAACGAGCGCAACCCUUGUCCCUAGUUGCCAGCGGUUCGGCCGGGAACUCUAGGGAGACUGCCGGUGACAAACCGGAGGAAGGUGGGGAUGACGUCAAGUCAUCAUGGCCCUUAUGGGUAGGGCUACACACGUGCUACAAUGGCCGGUACAGAGGGUUGCCAACCCGCGAGGGGGAGCUAAUCUCACAAAGCCGGUCGUAGUCCGGAUCGGAGUCUGCAACUCGACUCCGUGAAGUCGGAAUCGCUAGUAAUCGCGAAUCAGAAUGUCGCGGUGAAUACGUUCCCGGGCCUUGUACACACCGCCCGUCACACCAUGGGAGUGGGUUGCAAAAGAAGUGGGUUGUCUAACCUUCGGGAGGAUGCUCACCACUUUGUGAUUCAUGACUGGGGUGAAGUCGUAACAAGGUAACCA